This 330-nucleotide unclassified non-coding RNA is filed under the name soil metagenome. RNAcentral describes it as "partial contains 5.8S ribosomal RNA, internal transcribed spacer 2, and large subunit ribosomal RNA". The stretch from base 1 to 120 matches the Rfam family "5.8S ribosomal RNA", at positions 35 to 154 of the family's 154-position model. The record is from RNAcentral.
GAUGAAGAACGCAGUGAAAUGCGAUAAGUAAUGUGAAUUGCAGAAUUCAGUGAAUCAUCGAAUCUUUGAACGCACAUUGCGCCCGCUGGUAUUCCGAGGGGCAUGCCUGUUCGAGCGUCAUUUCAACCCUCAAGCACAGCUUGGUCUUGGGCUUCGCCGCUAACCCGGCGGGUCUUAAAAUCAGUGGCGGUGCCGUCGGGCCCUGAGCGCAGUAAUCUCUCUCGCUAUAGGGUCCCGGCGGAUGCUGGCCAGUAACCCCCAAUUUUCUAUGGUUGACCUCGGAUCAGGUAGGGAUACCCGCUGAACUUAAGCAUAUCAAUAAGCGGAGGA